Molecule: microRNA precursor, 78 nt
Organism: Gorilla gorilla gorilla (western lowland gorilla)
Lineage: Eukaryota; Metazoa; Chordata; Mammalia; Primates; Hominidae
Product: microRNA 3117
Source: Ensembl
CCCUAAAGGGCCAGACACUAUACGAGUCAUAUAAGGGAAGGCAUUAUAGGACUCAUAUAGUGCCAGGUGUUUUGUGGG